UGAGGAAUAUUGGUCAAUGGGCGCAAGCCUGAACCAGCCAUCCCGCGUGAAGGAUGAAGGCCCUAUGGGUCGUAAACUUCUUUUAUACACCAAGAAAAAGCAGGACGUGUCCUGCUCCGACGGUAGUGUAUGAAUAAGCAUCGGCUAACUCCGUGCCAGCAGCCGCGGUAAUACGGAGGAUGCGAGCGUUAUCCGGAUUCUUUGGGUUUAAAGGGUGCGUAGGCGGCUUUUUAAGUCAGUGAUGAAAUCUUGCCGCUUAACGGUAAAAUUGCCAUUGAUACUGAUAAGCUUGAGUACAAUUGAGAUAAGCGGAAUGUGUAGUGUAGCGGUGGAAUGCUUAGAUAUUACGCAGAACACCGAUUGCGAAAGCAGCUUACUAUGGUUUUAUUGACGAUGAGGCACGGAAGCGUGGGGAUCAAACA
This 422-nucleotide ribosomal RNA is filed under the name uncultured bacterium. RNAcentral describes it as "bacterial SSU rRNA". It matches the Rfam family "Bacterial small subunit ribosomal RNA", at positions 355 to 774 of the family's 1533-position model. The record is from RNAcentral.